UGUCGCCUCCCUCUUGUUAAGUUAUGUGAUCCUCUCCUCUCUUCGCUUUUCGUAUUCAAAAUUUUCGUAUUCAAAAUACUUUCCAUACACAUCUCAAACCCACGCAUACACUAUAAGUCACCACAAGGCAUCUCCGUGGCUUGUGGUCAUCAUACCUGGUGGCAAACAUAGUCUGACAGGAGUGGGGCAAUGAGGCUCUCCAAUUUAAAGUGCGGGCAUAAACAAGAAAGUCGCCGUUCCAAAAGGUUGCCAUUCACUUGGGGAGUUGGGAGGGUUAAGCUUUAUGGACCACUUGGAUAUAGGUGCCAAUUAACCAACUCCAAGGAAUGUUUUUGAUUUGUUUAUAUAUGCAAGUGUACAUGUUAUGGAAGAUGAUAAAAUACGAUAAGUUCCUUAUCUAAAUGAUUGAAACUUCAUCAAGAUAAUAUAAGAAUGAGAAUUGUUAUGUAAUAAUUCUAAUUAGAGGUCUUUGACUAUUGAUAGUCUUAUCUUUAAAUAUUCCUAUCACCAGUCUCAUCUUUCAUCUAUUUUCCCUACAACGGUCCCCCGUUAAAAAAACUUA
Molecule: long non-coding RNA, 562 nt
Filed under: Helianthus annuus (common sunflower)
Lineage: Eukaryota; Viridiplantae; Streptophyta; Magnoliopsida; Asterales; Asteraceae
Source: RNAcentral